This is a non-coding RNA of Chryseobacterium sp. IHB B 17019, 36 nucleotides long. NCBI's taxonomy places the organism in Bacteria, Pseudomonadati, Bacteroidota, Flavobacteriia, Flavobacteriales, Weeksellaceae. The record is from Rfam.
AAGGCGGUAUCCGAAAAGCCUCGAAAAGAGUAGGAA